AGGGUGACAGGUGGUGCAUGGUUGUCGUCAGCUCGUGUCGUGAGAUGUUGGGUUAAGUCCCGCAACGAGCGCAACCCUCGCCUCUAGUUGCCAGCAUUCGGUUGGGCACUCUAGAGGGACUGCCGGCGACAAGUCGGAGGAAGUGGGGAUGACGUCAAAUCAUCAUGCCCCUUAUGACCUGGGCUACACACGUGCUACAAUGGGCGGUACAAAGGGCUGCGAACCCGCGAGGGGGAGCGAAUCCCAAAAAGCCGCUCUCAGUUCGGAUUGCAGGCUGCAACUCGACUGCAUGAAGCCGGAGUUGCUAGUAACCGCAGGUCAGCAAUACUGCGGUGAAUACGUUCCCGGGUCUU
Molecule: ribosomal RNA, 353 nt
Filed under: uncultured Geobacillus sp.
Lineage: Bacteria; Bacillati; Bacillota; Bacilli; Caryophanales; Anoxybacillaceae
Description: bacterial SSU rRNA
Rfam family: Bacterial small subunit ribosomal RNA
Source: RNAcentral